GACGAACGCUGGCGGCGUGCCUAAUACAUGCAAGUAGAACGCUGAAGGAGGAGCUUGCUCUUCUGGAUGAGUUGCGAACGGGUGAGUAACGCGUAGGUAACCUGCCUGGUAGCGGGGGAUAACUCUUGGAAACGAUAGCUAAUACCGCAUAAGAGUAGAUGUUGCAUGACAUUUACUUAAAAGGUGCAAUUGCAUCACUGCCAGAUGGACCUGCGUUGUAUUAGCUAGUUGGUGGGGUAACGGCUUACCAAGGCGACGAUACAUAGCCGACCUGAGAGGGUGAUCGGCCACACUGGGACUGAGACACGGCCCAGACUCCUACGGGAGGCAGCAGUAGGGAAUCUUCGGCAAUGGACGGAAGUCUGACCGAGCAACGCCGCGUGAGUGAAGAAGGUUUUCGGAUCGUAAAGCUCGGUUGUAAGAGAAGAACGAGUGUGAGAGUGGAAAGUUCACACUGUGACGGUAUCUUACCAGAAAGGGACGGCUAACUACGUG
RNAcentral lists this ribosomal RNA (495 nucleotides) under uncultured bacterium. RNAcentral's name for it is "partial 16S ribosomal RNA". It matches the Rfam family "Bacterial small subunit ribosomal RNA", at positions 28 to 507 of the family's 1533-position model. The record is from RNAcentral.